UCAUGGACAACCUUGGGAAACUGAGGCUAAACCAUGAUAGGGAAUUUGUUCUGGAAUGACUUUUUCCUGAAAAGUAAUGCUAUAAGAUGAGUCGGCGGCUGAUUAGAUUGUUGGUGAGGUAAUGGCUCACCAAGUCUUUGAUCAGUAGGGGGGAUGAGAGUCCUAGCUUCGAGAAGGACACUGAGAUACUGGUCCUAGCCCUAAGGGGUGCAGCAGGCGAGAAACCUUUACAAUGCACGAAAGUGUGAUAAGGGGAACCCAAGUGCUCAUGCUUAGCAUGGGCUUUUGUUGAGUGUAAAAAACUUAAAGAAUAAAUGGUGGGUAAGACUGGUGCCAGCCGCCGCGGUAACACCAGCGCCAUGAGUGGCAAUCAUAAUUAUUGGUCUAAAGCGUCCGUAGCAGGUUUGGUAACUCUUUUGUGAAAUUGUUGGGCUUAACUUAACAGAUUGCAGGAGAAACUGCAAAACUUGAGACCGGGAAGAGACAGAAGUAUUCUAAGGGGAGCGGUAAAAUGUUAUAAUCCUUGGAGGACUACCUGUGGCGAAGGCGUCUGUCUAGAACGGCUCUGACUGUGGGGGACGAAAGCCAGGGGAUCAAAACGGAUUAGAUACCCGAGUAGUCCUGGCUGUAAACGCUGUGAGCUGUGUGUUGAGUUUUCUUCGAGAAAACUCAGUGCCCAAGCGAAGGUGUUAAGCUCACCACCUGGGAAGUACGGUCGCAAGAUUGAAACUUAAAGGAAUUGGCGGGGGCUCACACAAGCGGUGGAGCGUGCGGUUUAAUUGGAUUCUACGCCGCAAAUCUUACCGGGAGCGAUGGCAGGAUGAAGGUCAGAUUAAAGGUUUUACCUAACAGGCCAAGAGAUGGUGCAUGGCCGUCGCCAGCUCGUGCCGUGAGGUGUUCUCUUAAGUGAGAUAACGAGCGAGACCCACACCUACUUUUGCCAGCAGAUCUUUUUAGAUGACUGGGGACAAUGUAGGGACUGCUUCUGUAAAGAAGAGGAAGGCGUGGGCAACGAUAGGUCAGUAUGCCUCGAAUCCUCCGGGCUACACGCGCGCUACAAUGAUAAGGACAAUGGGAUGCGACUCUGAAAAGAGAAGCUAAGCCUCUAAACCUUAUCCUAGUACCGAUUGAAGGUUGUAAUUCACCCUCAUGAAGAUGGAAUCGCUAGUAAUCGGAAUUCAACACAUUCCGGUGAAUACGUCCCUGAGCCUUGCACACACUGCCCGUCACCUCAUCCGAGCAGGGUUUAGAUGAGACUUAACUUUUGGUUAUUCCGAAUCUAAAUUCAGCAAGGCGGAGUAAGUCGUCAAAAGGUA
Molecule: ribosomal RNA, 1316 nt
Filed under: metagenome
Description: bacterial SSU rRNA
Rfam family: Archaeal small subunit ribosomal RNA
Source: RNAcentral